CCUGGGCGCCCACGGCCACGUCCGGCAGCCUGUCCCCCGUCAGGUCCCGGCCGCCGCUCAGCGCCUGCCCGAAGUGGCGCGGCCCGCUGGGGAAGCGGGCGCCCGCGAUGCGCUGCGGGGGGGUGGGUGGGGGGGUGAGGGGACCCCGGCGUCCCGGCAGGGGGGGGUCUCCGGCACCCAAAACGUCCCCGGCACCCAAGAUGCCUCCGGCACCCAACGUGCCUCCGGCACCUGAGGUUCUCCAGCACCCAAAUUCCCUCCAGCACCCAAAUUCCCUCCAACACCCAAGGCGCCUCCAGCACCCAAGAUGUCUCCCGCACCCAAGACUUCCCCAGCACCCAAGACUUCCCCAGCACCCAAGGCUCCUCCAGCACCCAAAUAUCUCCACCACCCAAGGUUCUCCACCACCCAAGAUGCCUCCACCACCCAAGGCUUCCCCAGCACCCAAGAUGUCUCCACCACCCAAGAUGUCUCCUGCACCCAAGUUCUCCCCACCACCCAAGUUCUCCCCACCACCCAAGUUCUCCCCACCACCCAACCCACCCCCAGCACCCAAGGUUCUCCAGCACCCAAGAUGCCUCCACCACCCAAGGCUUCCCCAGCACCCAAGAUGCCUCCCGCACCCAAGUUUUCCCCACCACCCAACCCACCCCCAGCACCCAACCCACCCCCAGCACCCAAGGCUUCCCCGCACCCAAGAUGUCUCCCGCACCCAAGUUCUCCCCAGCACCCAAGAUGCCUCCACCACCCAAGGCUUCCCCAGCACCCAAGAUGUCUCCCGCACCCAAGUUCUCCCCACCACCCAAAUUCUCCCCAGCACCCAAGUUCUCCCCAGCACCCAAGUUCUCCCCAGCACCCAACCCACCCCCAGCACCCAAGGGCCCCCCCUGGGCCCCCACCUGGCUGUAGUGCGCGGCGACGCCGCCCUCCUCCCCCCGGAAGACGUAGACGGCCCCGCGGUGCUCGUCCUCCAUGGGGGCGCCCACGGCCACGUCGUGCCAGCCGUCGCCGUCCACGUCCCCCAGGCGGCUGAGGCUGGCCCCGAAGCGCCCCAGGGGGUGGCCGGGCUGGCCCUGCAGCGUGCGCAGGCAGCGCAGCACCCCG
RNAcentral lists this long non-coding RNA (1104 nucleotides) under Anser brachyrhynchus (Pink-footed goose). RNAcentral describes it as "lncRNA (ENSABRG00000005561.1)". The record is from RNAcentral. Lineage: Eukaryota; Metazoa; Chordata; Aves; Anseriformes; Anatidae.